AACGAACGCUGGCGGCGUGGAUAAGACAUGCAAGUCGAGCGGGAACUUUCGCUGUAGCAAUACAGUGAAAGUUCUAGCGGCGAACGGGUGCGUAACACGUGGACAAUCUGCCUUAAAGUGGGGGAGUAGCUCGGCGAAAGACCGAAUUAAUACCGCAUGUGAUGAGAGACGACAUCGUCUUGAAAUCAAAGACCGGGGCGAACCUGGCGCUUUUUGUAGGAGUCCGCCGGCCAUCAGCUUGUUGGUGAGGUAACGGCUCACCAAGGCUAUGACGGGUAGCUGGUCUGAGAGGACGACCAGUCACACUGGAACUGAGACACGGUCCAGACACCUACGGGUGGCAGCAGUCGAGUAAUUUUUAGUAC
RNAcentral lists this ribosomal RNA (365 nucleotides) under uncultured bacterium. Its description in RNAcentral is "bacterial SSU rRNA". It matches the Rfam family "Bacterial small subunit ribosomal RNA", at positions 29 to 372 of the family's 1533-position model. The record is from RNAcentral.